Non-coding RNA from Cinara cedri, 1407 nucleotides. NCBI's taxonomy places the organism in Eukaryota, Metazoa, Arthropoda, Insecta, Hemiptera, Aphididae. The record is from the annotation of a GenBank genome assembly.
UAUACAUUUUGUAACUGAAUCCUAUCUCGGAUUUUUUUUUUCUUAUUGAUAGUGAUUUAAGGGAUUUGUAAAUUCUACUUCUAUCGACUCUCGACGAUCGGGACAAUAAUGGCCACAGUAAUAGCCAUCCGCCUAUCUGUAUAUAUGAUUAAAAAAAAAAAUCAAAAUACCAAGGACCAAAUUAACCAAUGCACUAUUGUAAUUUGAUGAACACACAGUUAAUUCACUGUUGGAUUAUUUAGCCGUCUAUUCUAGACACAAAUUUGUUGUUGUCGUGAGUAUUGUAUAAUAGUAUGUUUGACGCAAAGCAAAAAUGUUCUUUGUUCAUCCAAAAUAUUGUCUACCUACCUAAUCAAAUAUUAUUUUCUUUCAAUUGUAAUAAUGGUAUAAUUAUACUAUAACACUACAAUAUAAGUAGAAUAAUAUUAUUAUAGAGUACAUAAAGUAAAAUUUGUAUAAGAAAAGAAAAAUAUAAAACUUAGCAUAUUAGCAUAAAAACAAUUGUUUAUUUGGUAAACGUUUGAUUAAAUUAGGUAGUCGUGCCUAUCAAAACAAAUUUGAACAAAAAUGCUGUCUUCUCCUUUAUAUUUUUAUAAUAAUAAAAUUGUACACUGGUUUAUAAAGUUAAUUUCCAACAGGUUACAUUUUCACUUACUUGUGAUAUACUGUGUUCAUUUACUAGCGACUAUGCAUAUAUCAAAAUUGUACACUGGUUUAUAAAGUUAAUUUCCAACAGGUUACAUUUUCAGUUACUUGUGAUAUACUGUGUUCAUUUACUAGCGACUAUGCAUAUAUCAAAGUAAAAUUACGAACUUAGAUUUCUGAACGGACACCCACUAUCCCUCUGUAAUACAAACUAUUAAUUAUUUAGUCCACAACAAAUUGUCCAAGUCAGUAACAUGUAAAGUAAGUAAAAUAAUAUAGAACACUGUAUUUAAACUAAUAUCAAUAAAUAAAUAAUUUAUUUGUCUAGGUAAUUAUGAUUACUGACGAAACUGUCAUCGAGGUCUUCGACAACCAAAUAUAAUGCCAUUUCUAUUUCCUGGAAAACUAAUAGGCAUUCCUUUGGAUGAAUUAUUCACAAUUUACAAAAAUAAUUAACUCAAACAACAAACUUCCAAAUUGUAUGGGAUAUAUAACUUUCAAAGUCUUACAUUAAUGCCAACAGAAAAUAAGACAGGUUAAAUGUUUAAAAUAAUAAUUUUGUUUAUUUAUUAUUUUAAUUUAAUUUUUAUUGAAUCUUUACAGAUAAUAAUAACCUACAGCCCAUAAAAUUAUCUAAUAAGCAUGGUAACAAUCAGUCAAAAUUGGUAUGGAUUAAGGAAGCUGGUCUUCAGGCAAGCGGAUAUUCAAAAAAUGUUGAAACAAGCAAGAAGAAUGGUGGAUAAAAUUCGGAGUUUUUAUUAG